GUUCCAGCCGCCGCGGUAAUACGGGGGGGCAAGCGUUGUUCGGAAUUACUGGGCGUAAAGGGCUCGUAGGCGGCCAACUAAGUCGGACGUGAAAUCCCUCGGCUUAACCGGGGAACUGCGUCCGAUACUGGAUGGCUUGAGUUUGGGAGAGGGAUGCGGAAUUCCAGGUGUAGCGGUGAAAUGCGUAGAUAUCUGGAGGAACACCGGUGGCGAAGGCGGCAUCCUGGACCAACACUGACGCUGAUGAGCGAAAGCCAGGGGAGCAAACGGGAUUAGAUACCCGUGUAGUCC
Molecule: ribosomal RNA, 291 nt
Filed under: uncultured bacterium
Lineage: Bacteria
Description: partial 16S ribosomal RNA
Rfam family: Bacterial small subunit ribosomal RNA
Source: RNAcentral